CUUUUUGCAGGGUUGAAUUUGAAGAUGUGAACCGCCUCCAAGAUGGCCAGUCCAAGCAUUCACCAGAAGCUUUCUAUGGCGGUUCUUUGUGGAAGGUCAGUGUGCAAGCCUUCAAUGACGAAGAUCCGAGGGGGAGGCGCCCACUUGGUCUUUUCCUGCAUAGGCGCAAAGCAGAGGACGUGGGUCCUUACAGAAAGGUGGACUUUUUACGGAUGAGAG
Molecule: non-coding RNA, 219 nt
Organism: Physcomitrium patens
Lineage: Eukaryota; Viridiplantae; Streptophyta; Bryopsida; Funariales; Funariaceae
Source: RefSeq, a predicted model, not a curated record